RNAcentral lists this long non-coding RNA (283 nucleotides) under Helianthus annuus (common sunflower). RNAcentral's name for it is "sRNA HanXRQr2_Chr04g0184071". Lineage: Eukaryota; Viridiplantae; Streptophyta; Magnoliopsida; Asterales; Asteraceae. The record is from RNAcentral.
GGUGUUUUUGACUUGGGUGCUGGGGGAAGCAGCUGCAAAAACCAAACCAAAUCAAAUAUCAUUACACUAUCCUCCUUGUUGAAUCUAAGUGAUUAAUGAAGAAAAAGAAUAACACAGUGGGAACUGGGAACAGAAAGUACCUGAUAACAAGAUAUGAGUGAGGUGGUGAAUCCAAGAGCUCCUGUAACACGAGGGAUGGAGAGUGGAGGCAGAUAUUUUAGGCUUUUCUGAAGAAUUUCGCCGUUAAGAACAAACACACGGUGAGUGUGUGUGUAUGUGUGAG